ACAUGCAGUCGAGCGGUAGCACAGAGAGCUUGCUCUCGGGUGACGAGCGGCGGACGGGUGAGUAAUGUCUGGGAAACUGCCUGAUGGAGGGGGAUAACUACUGGAAACGGUAGCUAAUACCGCAUAAUGUCGCAAGACCAAAGUGGGGGACCUUCGGGCCUCAUGCCAUCAGAUGUGCCCAGAUGGGAUUAGCUAGUAGGUGGGGUAACGGCUCACCUAGGCGACGAUCCCUAGCUGGUCUGAGAGGAUGACCAGCCACACUGGAACUGAGACACGGUCCAGACUCCUACGGGAGGCAGCAGUGGGGAAUAUUGCACAAUGGGCGCAAGCCUGAUGCAGCCAUGCCGCGUGUAUGAAGAAGGCCUUCGGGUUGUAAAGUACUUUCAGCGGGGAGGAAGGCGAUAAGGUUAAUAACCUUGUCGAUUGACGUUACCCGCAGAAGAAGCACCGGCUAACUCCGUGCCAGCAGCCGCGGUAAUACGGAGGGUGCAAGCGUUAAUCGGAAUUACUGGGCGUAAAGCGCACGCAGGCGGUCUGUCAAGUCGGAUGUGAAAUCCCCGGGCUCAACCUGGGAACUGCAUUCGAAACUGGCAGGCUAGAGUCUUGUAGAGGGGGGUAGAAUUCCAGGUGUAGCGGUGAAAUGCGUAGAGAUCUGGAGGAAUACCGGUGGCGAAGGCGGCCCCCUGGACAAAGACUGACGCUCAGGUGCGAAAGCGUGGGGAGCAAACAGGAUUAGAUACCCUGGUAGUCCACGCCGUAAACGAUGUCGAUUUGGAGGUUGUGCCCUUGAGGCGUGGCUUCCGGAGCUAACGCGUUAAAUCGACCGCCUGGGGAGUACGGCCGCAAGGUUAAAACUCAAAUGAAUUGACGGGGGCCCGCACAAGCGGUGGAGCAUGUGGUUUAAUUCGAUGCAACGCGAAGAACCUUACCUGGUCUUGACAUCCACAGAACUUAGCAGAGAUGCUUUGGUGCCUUCGGGAACUGUGAGACAGGUGCUGCAUGGCUGUCGUCAGCUCGUGUUGUGAAAUGUUGGGUUAAGUCCCGCAACGAGCGCAACCCUUAUCCUUUGUUGCCAGCGGUCCGGCCGGGAACUCAAAGGAGACUGCCAGUGAUAAACUGGAGGAAGGUGGGGAUGACGUCAAGUCAUCAUGGCCCUUACGACCAGGGCUACACACGUGCUACAAUGGCAUAUACAAAGAGAAGCGACCUCGCGAGAGCAAGCGGACCUCAUAAAGUAUGUCGUAGUCCGGAUUGGAGUCUGCAACUCGACUCCAUGAAGUCGGAAUCGCUAGUAAUCGUAGAUCAGAAUGCUACGGUGAAUACGUUCCCGGGCCUUGUACACACCGCCCGUCACACCAUGGGAGUGGGUUGCAAAAGAAGUAGGUAGCUUAACCUUCGGGAGGGCG
This 1406-nucleotide ribosomal RNA is filed under the name Klebsiella sp. S-49. RNAcentral describes it as "bacterial SSU rRNA". It matches the Rfam family "Bacterial small subunit ribosomal RNA". Lineage: Bacteria; Pseudomonadati; Pseudomonadota; Gammaproteobacteria; Enterobacterales; Enterobacteriaceae. The record is from RNAcentral.